CCUCUAGAGGGAAGCACUUUCUGUUGUCUGAAAGAAAAGAAAGUGCUUCCUUUUAGAUGGUUACUGUUUGAGA
MicroRNA precursor from Aotus nancymaae (Ma's night monkey), 73 nucleotides. The record is from Ensembl. Lineage: Eukaryota; Metazoa; Chordata; Mammalia; Primates; Aotidae.